RNAcentral lists this transfer RNA (94 nucleotides) under Myxococcus fulvus. RNAcentral describes it as "tRNA-Thr". The record is from RNAcentral. Lineage: Bacteria; Pseudomonadati; Myxococcota; Myxococcia; Myxococcales; Myxococcaceae.
UGCUGGUGCCCGAGUGGAUUGCGCAGGUGCCCACGUGUGAUGGGCCCGAGCCCGAAGGCUCGGACUCUCCGUUCGCCACGGACACCGGCUACCA